CCCUACGGGGGGCAGCAGGCGCGAACACUUUACAAUGCGGGAAACCGCGAUAAGGGAACCCCGAGUGCCAGCAUCAAAUGUUGGCUGUCCG
RNAcentral lists this ribosomal RNA (91 nucleotides) under uncultured archaeon. RNAcentral describes it as "partial 16S ribosomal RNA". It matches the Rfam family "Archaeal small subunit ribosomal RNA", at positions 321 to 413 of the family's 1478-position model. The record is from RNAcentral.